UGGUAGUGCGGUUCUAGACGCUAUUUUAGACCUUAUAUAGCCAUCACGUGCAUCAAAACGGCAGAGCGCAGUUGAUGCUUCAGCGGAUAAUUUGACGCAACGUUCUAUAGCUUGUGAAUGGCAUGGGAACUCUCACUUGGAACUUCUGAGAUCAUUCCUUUAAACUACCGUCGAAAAUCAAUACUUGAGACUGGGAGCUACUCUUUGAAACAACGGAUAGACCAAAGCGGCCAAACGCAGUCGGUGCUUAUAAAAAUAGGCCUAGCUCCUAGCAUAUGAAAACCGUUUCUUAACAGUGUUUCCAAGAGCAAGUUUUUGUCUAUUCGGACGUCGAAAUUGUGACUACGGGUAUGAUUUGGCUCACCUUGACGACAGGCUUUUGCAUACCUCGUCCAAGACAACAAAUUUUAAUUUCAGGUCUGUUGUUUAUAUUCGUAACUUCCGUGCAAGAGACUAAAUACCUAAAGAUUUAUUCAGUGCAGACAGAGUAAUACAUGCUUCAACGUUUGCUAGGCAACUUAUUUGAUGCCGUUCGUCUCGUUAAAUGCAUAGCAACUUUG
Molecule: long non-coding RNA, 560 nt
Organism: Photinus pyralis (common eastern firefly)
Lineage: Eukaryota; Metazoa; Arthropoda; Insecta; Coleoptera; Lampyridae
Exons: 3
Source: RefSeq, a predicted model, not a curated record